This 735-nucleotide long non-coding RNA is filed under the name Apteryx rowi (Okarito brown kiwi). RNAcentral's name for it is "lncRNA (ENSARWG00000014676.1)". Lineage: Eukaryota; Metazoa; Chordata; Aves; Apterygiformes; Apterygidae. The record is from RNAcentral.
CUGAAACAACUCGAGGAGACUUGAAUAUUGUCCCUGUAAAGCAUUCACAUCUCAAGCAUAGGAAAAGAGCACUCUUUGAUAUGCACAUAGCAUUACCAGAAUACCAUCUUAAAGUCUUCAGCACACUGAGAUACUAUCUCCAUUUUAAGAUGGAAAAUUAAAGCAACUUCAUUAUGGUCAGACAGAAAGCCUCAGGCACAGUGGGGAAUCCAGCCAGGUCUGACAUCCCAUGCUAACACCUUGCUCAGCAGACCAUCCACCAGCAAAGAGACCAUGAAGAACCAGCGUACAACUGCCAAACAGGUCAAACUCGAUAGCUUUUGAAAAGCAUCAGAGCUUCACUGCUUGUGCACAGCAAACUGGGUUGAGCCCAUACAGCCCUAGUCUCUGUGCUCUCAGGAUUAUUACAGAAAAGGUAAGCCAGAUAACUCAGGUGGACUGCAGUGAUCCUGCAUAUCGUUCCAGAGGCACCAAGGGAUCUCUUUUCUGGGAGAGGCUGGUCUUGUACUGCAGGGACCACAGAUUUGCAGGCAUUCCAGGCUCAUCCCGUGGUUGCUCUGACCCAAGCAGCAGCUCUGCAGGGGAAAAGCAAAGGGCCCCUAAAGCCUUGUUCCCAGCUCCCCUCCGCAGGAACGGCCGCGCUGACUGAUGCAUCAGCCCACAUGUCAGACAUGGACCAAGGGACUCACUGACCAGAGAUAUUCCCUCCAUCACUUAAUUGCUUUAAGGCAAAGA